RNAcentral lists this ribosomal RNA (332 nucleotides) under uncultured eukaryote. RNAcentral's name for it is "partial 18S ribosomal RNA". It matches the Rfam family "Eukaryotic small subunit ribosomal RNA", at positions 1470 to 1796 of the family's 1831-position model. The record is from RNAcentral.
CCCUUAGAUGUUCUGGGCUGCACCCGUGCUACACUGGCAGGUUCAGCGAGCUUCAUGCCCUGAUCUGAAAGGCAUGGGAAAUCUUUUCAAAACCUGCCGUGCUUGGGAUAGAUGUUUGCAAUUAUUCAUCUUCAACGAGGAUUGCCUUGUAAGCGCACGUCAUCAGCGUGCAUUGAAUACGACCCUGUAUUCUGUACACACCGCCCGUCGCUCCUACCGAUUGAAGUUUUCGGUGAGUUGACAGGAGGAUUUUUUUGAAACUGGUUCGCCAGUGGAUUUUAGAUCCAAAUGCCAACGAAUCGAUGGCUUUAGAGGAAGGAGAAGUCGUAACA